RNAcentral lists this ribosomal RNA (467 nucleotides) under uncultured bacterium. Its description in RNAcentral is "partial 16S ribosomal RNA". It matches the Rfam family "Bacterial small subunit ribosomal RNA", at positions 28 to 523 of the family's 1533-position model. The record is from RNAcentral.
GAUGAAUGCUGGCGGCGUGCCUAACACAUGCAAGUCGGGCGGCAGCGCGAGUAGUUUACUACUUGGCGGCGAGCGGCGGACGGCUGAGUAACGCGUGGGAACGUGCCCCAAAGUGAGGAAUAACUGCCCGAAAGGGUGGCUAAUGCCGCAUAUGAUCUUCGGAUUAAAGGAUUUAUCCGCUUUGGGAGCGGCCCGCGUUAGAUUAGGUAGUUGGUGAGGUAAUGGCUCACCAAGCCGACGAUCUAUAGCUGGUCUGAGAGGAUGAUCAGCCAGACUGGAACUGAGACACGGUCCAGACUCCUACGGGAGGCAGCAGUGAGGAAUCUUCCACAAUGGGCGAAAGCCUGAUGGAGCAACGCCGCGUGCAGGAUGAAGGCCCUAGGGUCGUAAACUGCUUUUAUAAGUGAAGAAUAUGACGGUAACUUAUGAAUAAGCACCGGCUAACUACGUGCCAGCAGCCGCGGUAA